CCUACGGGAGGCAGCAGUGAGGAAUAUUGGUCAAUGGACGAGAGUCUGAACCAGCCAAGUAGCGUGAAGGAUGACUGCCCUAUGGGUUGUAAACUUCUUUUAUAAAGGAAUAAAACGAGGCACGUGUGCCUUUUUGCAUGUACUUUAUGAAUAAGGAUCGGCUAACUCCGUGCCAGCAGCCGCGGUAAUACGGAGGAUCCGAGUGUUAUCCGGAUUUAUUGGGUUUAAAGGGAGCGUAGAUGGGUUGUUAAGUCAGUUGUGAAAGUUUGCGGCUCAACCGUAAAAUUGCAAUUGAUACUGGCAGUCGUGAGUACAGUUGAGGUAGGCGGAAUUCGUGGUGUAGCGGUGAAAUGCUUAGAUAGCACGAAGAACCCCGAUUGCGAAGGCAGCUUACUAAACUGUGACUGACAUUGAUGCUCGAAAGUGUGGGUAUCAAACAGGAUUAGAUACCCUAGUAGUC
This 460-nucleotide ribosomal RNA is filed under the name uncultured bacterium. RNAcentral's name for it is "partial 16S ribosomal RNA". It matches the Rfam family "Bacterial small subunit ribosomal RNA", at positions 338 to 795 of the family's 1533-position model. The record is from RNAcentral.